Long non-coding RNA from Macaca fascicularis (crab-eating macaque), 2358 nucleotides. NCBI's taxonomy places the organism in Eukaryota, Metazoa, Chordata, Mammalia, Primates, Cercopithecidae. The record is from Ensembl.
AUUAUACAACAUGCAGUCUGCCAGAGUACCCAUACAUCUUCAUUUUAGAACCUAGAAGAUUACCAAAAUUUUCCGCGGGCCAAAGGAGGGUGACUUCCAGAUCUUUUGUUACAUGGACUAUAGUACAGCAUCAUUAUUGAUAUAAACCACCAUUCUCCCCUCAAACCCCCCAGACAAGUUUGUCCACAAUUUUUUAAAUGUGAAAGCUACUGUACAGAUACAUAAAGCCCAGAGAACACACAUCUGCAGUACACAGGACGCACUUUACAAACUAGACAUGGAUAAUUCUACAGAAUGCCCUAUUCCCCUUAUAUCUGCACACAAUGAACAGUAUUUAAAAUUGAUACACAAUUUUUAAAUAAGUAAGCAGACUUCAUGGAGCGGCGCUUCCUUUGGCAGUUAUCCAGCCAUUAUUCAAUGCUUGGUUUAAAAAGUCUAAAUUGUUAGUGUUAAAUGAAGCAAUUUUAGAUUACGAUGGUUUCUUUAGCUUGCUCAAGAUUCUGGACUAGACAAUGAAGUGAAAUCUUCCCUCCACCCUCGGCCUUUCCCAAUAUGUCAUAUAGCUAGAGUCCAAAUGUCUCCUGCCCUGCUUUAAAAAAUGCACUUCAAAAGAGGGGAUUGUUAAGAACUUUUAUUUGCUUUCAGUUAUUUCUAUAGGAACUAGAGCUUCUUUAUGUAAACUUUAGGGCUUUAAAAAAGUCACUAGAUGCUACAUUCUAGGCAAACCUUUUUAUUUCUUCAUUUAUCCCAGUGUAUCUAUAAAUUCUGAUUUCUUAAUCACAUGGUUCUAUUUCCUUUAAAAGUCUUAAUGUGAAACUGUUAUUUUUCUAUCUACUACCUGCUGUUUAACAAAAGUGAAGUGUGCAGCAUUUGAAGAGAUGAUAUGUUUGCACAGAAUUCUCUAGUAAUUGACAAAAACACAUUUGGCAUUAUGUAUUUUAGUUUCCAACCAUAAAUCUUGAUAUCUCAAACAACAUUCUCCUAAUUUACCAAUCCACCAUCCUGCAGAUAAAGAUUAUUCGUAUAAACCAUCUGGCUGUUCUCUUAGAGCAUCAAAGAGUAAACUUUGAAGAAGUAGCAUGAAAUAUAAAAUUAUUCAUAGAGGAGAAAAAGACACAAUACACACUUGUCAAAAGCUGCAUAUAACCAAAAUCAUAAUCACGAGCUUAGUUGUUCAGAAGUGUGGUUUUUACACUUAAAGUACAGGGAGCAAUAGUCUAAAAACCUGAAAAUUGCACAUACGUGGCUUUUUUAGAAAGUGGCCUACAGAGAACAUGGUCCUGAUAUAAUAACUGGCUUACUAUACAUAACAAUAUUUAAGGAUCCAUUUGAAUAAUCCAUUCCAAUAAUUUGCCUUCCUUUUAGUCACAGUAUAGGAAAAUUAGAUUAGAAGUCCUAUAAAGAUUGAAGCUAGGUGAACUGACUGGCUGAUCAGCAACUAGCAGAAUUAUCUUUAAGAGACAUCAAAGCCAACUUUCUCUGUGAAUAAAAGUAAAGCGAAUGUUGUCAGUCCCUUGUAGAGAUCAAGCAAAAUGGAACUACAAGUGAAUGUUUCCCUUUGAAACAUGAAAGUGCCAAGCAAUUCUUUAGAACUAGAAAGGGGGUACCCAGGGAAAAAUCACUCUGGAGAGAAUCUAAAACAAUCUAUUUUAUGAUGGAUAUUAACAAGAGCCAAACACCAUUACUGACCUUUGUUCAAUUUCCAAACAAAAAGUAAUGGAGAGUAGUUGUAAUGACAAUUAAUAAUUGGCAAUUAUCCCAAACACCAAUGUUUUAGCUGCCCAAAUCAGAAGCAAACAUAUUAACAAGGUUAUGUGGCAUAUGUUAUUACCUGAUAAACUUUGCAAAACCUGCCCCACAAGGACCCUUUUAUCAGACUGCAAAUAAUGAUGGAGCAGGUAUAUUGGGCUGGCACUGAUAACAAAAUUAAAGAAUGAAAAAAAUUUAAACAAAUGCAAAAUUGCCAUCUUCACGAAAUAAAUACUUCAAUAGUUUGUCCUCCUCCCUCUCCUUAUUCCCCCCCAAAAACAAAACAUACAUAAACAAAGUGCAACAUUUAACAAAUAAAUUAAGUCAAAGCAGGUUUGCUUUGCUCGGGAAAUUUUAUACAAGAAAUGUUUGGAUGUCAAUGCACAGUUCUUAGCACUCUACACACACACACACACACACACACACACACACAGUUGAACUACCUUCGACUCACACAGUCAUGAGAAAAGCCCGAAAUCUCCCCUAGCAUAUAUUUCAUUACAGUGGUGAAAGCUUCAGGGCACAGUGCCAGCUCCUCAUCUUGGGCACACAACACGAUAGGAUAGGAGCUUUCACCGAGAUUGGUUUGGUUGUCAUUGACUUACCCCC